GUACCCGCUUUAAGUUACAGUUUUACUGUGAACACUGAGGCUGUACCUGCUUUAAGUGACAGGUUUACUGUGAACACUGAGGCUGUACCUGCUUUAAGUCACAGUUUUACUGUGAACACUGAGGCUGUACCCACUUUAAGUUACAGUUUUACUAUGAACACUGAGGCUGUACCCACUAAGUUACAGUUUUACUGUGAACACUGAGGCUGUACCCACUAAGUUACAGUUUUACUGUGAACACUGAGGCUGUACCUGCUUUAAGUUACAGUUUUACUGUGAACACUGAGGCUGUACCUGCUUUAAGUUACAGUUUUACUGUGAACACUGAGGCUGUACCUGCUUUAAGUUACAGUUUUACUAUGAACACUGAGGCUGUACCUGCUUUAAGUUACAGUUUUACUGUGAACACUGAGGCUGUACCC
Oncorhynchus keta (chum salmon) is the source of this 422-nucleotide long non-coding RNA. RefSeq lists it as uncharacterized. NCBI's taxonomy places the organism in Eukaryota, Metazoa, Chordata, Actinopteri, Salmoniformes, Salmonidae. The record is from RefSeq and is a predicted model, not a curated record. The transcript is spliced from 3 exons.